RNAcentral lists this ribosomal RNA (253 nucleotides) under uncultured bacterium. RNAcentral's name for it is "partial 16S ribosomal RNA". It matches the Rfam family "Bacterial small subunit ribosomal RNA", at positions 524 to 776 of the family's 1533-position model. The record is from RNAcentral.
GACAGAGGGUGCAAACGUUGCUCGGAAUCACUGGGCGUAAAGCGCGUGUAGGCGGCUCGAUAAGUCUGCUGUGAAAGUCCAGGGCUCAACCCUGGGAUGCCGGUGGAUACUGUCGAGCUCGAGUCCGGAAGAGGCGAGUGGAAUUCCUGGUGUAGCGGUGAAAUGCGCAGAUAUCAGGAGGAACACCAAUGGCGAAGGCAGCUCGCUGGGACGUGACUGACGCUGAGACGCGAAAGCGUGGGGAGCAAACAGG